This 253-nucleotide ribosomal RNA is filed under the name uncultured bacterium. RNAcentral describes it as "partial 16S ribosomal RNA". It matches the Rfam family "Bacterial small subunit ribosomal RNA", at positions 524 to 776 of the family's 1533-position model. The record is from RNAcentral.
UACGUAGGGUGCAAGCGUUGUCCGGAAUUACUGGGCGUAAAGGGCUCGUAGGCGGCCAACUAAGUCAGACGUGAAAUCCCUCGGCUUAACCGGGGAACUGCGUCUGAUACUGGAUGGCUUGAGAUUGGGAGAGGGAUGCGGAAUUCCAGGUGUAGCGGUGAAAUGCGUAGAUAUUCGGAGGAACACCAGUGGCGAAGGCGGCUCACUGGUCCGGUACUGACGCUGAGGUGCGAAAGCGUGGGGAGCAAACAGG